Molecule: non-coding RNA, 1030 nt
Organism: Epinephelus lanceolatus (giant grouper)
Lineage: Eukaryota; Metazoa; Chordata; Actinopteri; Perciformes; Serranidae
Source: RefSeq, a predicted model, not a curated record
CAGCUCAGCCAGGCCCCGAGCGGAGCCAAUAAUGGUCACUACAUAGAUCUGUAAUGAAGAUGUGGGGAACAGAGAAAAGCAUCCAGCGGCUGGGGUUGACAGUUGCCGUGGCAACCAAAUAACACAAUGAGAGAAGGUGCUUUGUUAAUUGACUGCAGAACUGCUGCUGUGUUGUGCUUCACCAACACGUUGACAGUUGCCGCUAUGCCCAAGACAGAGCUUAUUCUCUCUCCUCUCUGUUCACGUCAAUGGAAAAAUUCCACACCACGUCCAGUGCAGUGUCCAAGAAGGGGGAGGGUGUGAUUGUGUGUGUAGAGGGAGGAAGAUGUGAUGGUUUAAAUAACAGUGGAAACAAUGACUUGAGUCUAUCUGGCAAUAAAUCAUGUCAAGUUUGUCCCUUCAUCAUUUCUAGGUAUUUUAUAUUUGACUGUCACUAUAUUCGGUGUUGCUCAGCCUGUUUUCAAGGCCAAUAUUCUGUGUGUUUUUCCAUCUUAUUAGCGAGGCUUCCACGGUAAAAGCCCAAAGAUGAAUCACUGUGUGUGUGUGUCCUCAGUUAUGCAGGCACUGCAGGAGCAGAGAAAUAGGGCAGUGGAAGGAGGACAUGUUGUGCAAUAUUGGAAUCUUUAAUUCUGUAUGAGCCUAAAGGUUGUAUAUUUCAUAACUUUUCACGUAGCUCCAUAGCCUUCUGCUUAUGAUAAAACACUGCGCAUGAUUAGUGUGUACAGUGGAAACAUUUAUCUCCGUCAUGUUGUUGAAUUCAACACGUCAGCCACACUGUUCAUCUGAGGGACUGCAGGUAGUUAUGUCCACUGUCUAAAUGUCAUCUGGGUAACUAUUGGGACACAACUACAACUUGGAAACAUCAGUGUGGACACAGAGAGUUAUCAAUGAGCAAAUCUGGCUACUUGCCCUCCAAUUAAACAGGAAGCUAAAUAAACCACCUCCACCCACACACCCUCGCUGAGCUUAUGAAUAGAAAAAAAUGGUUUGGAAAAGAGAAGAUGAACUGAUAGAAAAGAGGAACAAGACA